Cucurbita moschata (crookneck pumpkin) is the source of this 1407-nucleotide RNA transcript. RefSeq lists it as uncharacterized. The record is from RefSeq and is a predicted model, not a curated record. The transcript is spliced from 5 exons. NCBI's taxonomy places the organism in Eukaryota, Viridiplantae, Streptophyta, Magnoliopsida, Cucurbitales, Cucurbitaceae.
UCUUUAUUUGAGCCUACGCGUAGCUCAAGGAAGAAACAAUAAUCAAAAAGUGAAAACCCCACAAUCAUUUUCACUCAGAAUUCCUUUGUAACCUUCCUGUUCUUCAGCCAUAGCCAUCAUUUAGCUGAGAGAGAGAAGCACGUGCCAUUGAAGUGGAGGGUCCCCAGCUGAAGGAUGGGGGAAAAGGAAAUUGAAGCCAAGAAUGUGAUGAAGAGGUCGAAGAAAUCACAACUUUAGUAAUGUUAUUUGAAGAGGAGAGAUGUAUGAGGAAUAAUUGUGGUAUAUAUCACAUUCUUUCCUUCCUUUGCUCUCUUUUGCCACCAACCACUUUUCUUUCUUCUCUUGAAUCAUAUGGAUGUGCUUGGUUCAGCAUAGCUGUAAGGUUAACCAUGGAAUUGGAAGUUUUGGAUGCAAACUAUCCUUCAUAGCCUAAACCAAUACUUUAGAAGCUCUUAAGAAACCGAUUAGUUUAUAGCCAGAUGGUUCGCUUCAUUUUCGAUAUCGCGACGUCAGAAUAAUCGACCGCUAUCACAGAGGAGGAUCUUGGACAUCUUCUUCAUUUUCUCUUGGCUUCUGGAUAUGGAUCAUCAGCUAUACAUUCUUAUGUAGAAGCCAUUUUUAUUAGCUUCAUUUUUGCUCCAAGCUUUUAGUUGAGGAAGAGAUAAGCCACCAUCUCAAAGUUAAAGGUAUGAGUGAGAUUGGUUCUGAAAGAUCAAAGUCAUGGAACAUAUACACAACUCCAGACCAGAGCCCAUCAUCUCAAACAGGCAUUGGUCAAGACGCUCCUUGGAAGAACUUUGGAUCCUCCAUGAAUGCCAUUUCCUUUGGCUUUGUUGCUACUGCAAUCUUGAUAUCCAUGUUCCUUAUCAUGGCCAUCUUUGAGCAUCUUUUUAGACCAACUUCUUCUUUCUCCUCCUCUGGUGAAGUGACCAACAACUUUGCACAAUCGGGUCCGGUCGAGAAAUUCGCUAGUCCAAAUACGGUGCCAACAUCAUAUGCAGCUGAUUUCUCGGUGUUGAUGCCAGGUCAGCACAUCCCCACCUUCAUUGCCCAGCCAGCCCCUCUGCCAUGCCAAAGAGAGGGGACUUAUUGGCCAUCUCACGACCAUAAUUUUUUAGGCCCUUGAAACAAAGAUGAUAUUUCUUGCCUCCAUUGGAAGCAGCUGCUGCAUUUAGGAAAACUGCCAGCUUUGCUUCUUCUCAGAAUAAUAAUUCUUGUGCUCCUUCACCCACUGGGAGAUUUGAUCAAAUGCUUGUGUUCUUUUUCAGUUUCUGAUCUGUAAAUUGAUUAUAAAAGAAGGGCACAAGUUCUUCCACGAUUUCAAGGUGUAAGUAGAUAUCACUUCACUUCCUCUACAGUGAGAAGGUGCUUUAAAAUUCAACAUUUUGAAAGGAAAGUGUUUCUGUA